This 654-nucleotide ribosomal RNA is filed under the name Salmonella enterica. RNAcentral describes it as "partial 23S ribosomal RNA". It matches the Rfam family "Bacterial large subunit ribosomal RNA", at positions 1 to 688 of the family's 2925-position model. The record is from RNAcentral. RNAcentral also lists the same sequence under 1 other name. Lineage: Bacteria; Pseudomonadati; Pseudomonadota; Gammaproteobacteria; Enterobacterales; Enterobacteriaceae.
GGGUUGUGAGGUUAAGCGACUAAGCGUACACGGUGGAUGCCCUGGCAGUCAGAGGCGAUGAAGGACGUGCUAAUCUGCGAUAAGCGUCGGUAAGGUGAUAUGAACCGUUAUAACCGGCGAUUUCCGAAUGGGGAAACCCAGUGUGUUUCGACACACUAUCAUUACGUGAAUACAUAGCGUAAUGAAGCGAACCGGGGGAACUGAAACAUCUAAGUACCCCGAGGAAAAGAAAUCAACCGAGAUUCCCCCAGUAGCGGCGAGCGAACGGGGAGCAGCCCAGAGUCUGAAUCAGCAUGUGUGUUAGUGGAAGCGUCUGGAAAGUCGCACGAUACAGGGUGAAAGUCCCGUACACAAAAGUGCAUGUGUUGUGAACUCGAAGAGUAGGGCGGGACACGUGGUAUCCUGUCUGAAUAUGGGGGGACCAUCCUCCAAGGCUAAAUACUCCUGACUGACCGAUAGUGAACCAGUACCGUGAGGGAAAGGCGAAAAGAACCCCGGCGAGGGGAGUGAAAAAGAACCUGAAACCGUGUACGUACAAGCAGUGGGAGCACCCUUCGGGGUGUGACUGCGUACCUUUUGUAUAAUGGGUCAGCGACUUAUAUUCUGUAGCAAGGUUAACCGAAUAGGGGAGCCGAAGGGAAACCGAGUCUUAAC